Molecule: non-coding RNA, 81 nt
Filed under: Paenibacillus sp.
Lineage: Bacteria; Bacillati; Bacillota; Bacilli; Caryophanales; Paenibacillaceae
Description: ZTP sequence
Rfam family: ZMP/ZTP riboswitch aptamer (pfl RNA motif)
About the family: Previously known as pfl RNA.
Source: RNAcentral
AUGAUCAUAUGUAACUGGCGAACACGGUGAACCGUGAGGGAGCAUAUGGUUUGUAAUAAGCCGUACGCCUGGGCAGAGGUA